Long non-coding RNA from Xiphophorus couchianus (Monterrey platyfish), 2928 nucleotides. RefSeq lists it as uncharacterized. Lineage: Eukaryota; Metazoa; Chordata; Actinopteri; Cyprinodontiformes; Poeciliidae. The record is from RefSeq and is a predicted model, not a curated record. The transcript is spliced from 4 exons.
ACGUCCCUCAGACUCACCGGGUUUUUGGAAAAUCAUUCCCUCUGCUUUUGGAUGGUGGGGAGCUGGGAAGAUUUCUAUUAAUGUUUUUACAUUUGGAAAGUAACUAUUGCAACAAAGAAUUUUUUUUCAGAGGAUUUGGACAACAGACUGAACUGGAGAUGCAACAGUGAAGCCGUCUGUUAGAAGGGACAGAGCAGACUGUACAUCUUCAGGAAGCUAAAAUACUGAAGGACCCACACAAUUAAAAAACUGUGAAUCAUCUGCUGCAGUUGUUGGAGGUCCUCAGUUGUUAGUGACAAUAGUAAUGGAGAGCCUGCAACACACAGCCGCAGGAGCAGCAUUCAGGAAGGAUCUUUGAAGAUAACGAGCUACUACUCCUGCUCAUUAUCUUCAAAGGACAAGCAGAUCUAAAGAUCCAGACUGUGUUUUACUAAAUGAACGCGCCGGUGGGGAGUUCUUCAGAUGAACGAUCAGUCCAGCCGCUGCAGUCCUCUUUCACUCUGCACUGAGUCCAACAAACCAAACCCUUUGAUCAACCUGUUCUCCUCUUCACCUGUGGUGGCACUGCACCAGGAACCACUGAAGGAAGCAACACAAAAGCCUCUGAAGAAGACACAACUUCCUUCGUCAUGAAAUGUUACAAAAAUUGAGUGGUGUAAAUCUUUAGCAGUUGCAGGAUUUCUCUGUUUAUGUUUUCAAAAGACCACGAGCCAUUUCUAAAGCGAGACCUAGACACAAAUGUCUGUUUUGUCUGCAUUUACCCAGAAUGCCCUGUAUUGUAGGGACGGUCUAAGGUCUGCUUGGCAUUCACAUGUGCAUUCGAAUGACACCAGAGUUCACUUGAAGUGAACCCAGAGUGAGGUUUUUAGGCUGUUUUCUACAUCAGAGUUUCUUUACACAUUCACACCUCCACAGAUGAACCAGGAAACAAACUGGAGUUUGAUGAAAGCGGGCUAAACAUGGCUGGUGUGAGUGCACCAUUAGGCACCUACAUGUGCUAACAACUAGCAGGAAAAAAGUUUUGUCUUGGCAGGAAUCUGACCCCAGCUGUUCAUUCAGCACACCUCACAGCCGCAGCAGGCACUGGCCGAUUUAAAAAUGUGUGUUUGCUCCUUCAUUGCUGGUGUAGAUCUGCCAUUUACCAUCGCUCCUCCACUCAUAGGUUUAUGCAAGACCUUAACGCCCUCACACAUCUGUUUUGAGGCUGCAUGCUAGCUAUGUAAUCACACAUGGUAUCUCACCAGAGUUAAAGAAAAGCUUAUCCAAAAAGCUAAAUCGGGACAUGUUUUCACUCAACAUCAAUAAUAGUAAGAAUGACAGUUCAUGAAGAGGAUACAGGCUGCAUCGCCUCAGCAUUGAUGCUGGACGUAAAAGCUGACCUGCUGUCAUAUGUAAAAACUGACACUGUUUGGGAAACAGAUGUUACAGAAACCCAAAGACGCUUCAUGACAACAGUGACGACCAUUAAGACUGUCAUUAGUGUUCAUGUCAUGUUCAUGUCGCCCUUCAAAUAAAGUGCUACCAUCGUUUGGUCAUUUUUUGUCACUGGUCAAUGGAAAGCUAAUUUCUUCUGGCAACUUUACAGCUUUAGUAACUUUUAUUGUGAACACAGUAAGAGCAAUAGGCAGGCAGUGAAUUGACUUGUUAUUCAUAGGGAUGGAUUACUGAGCAAGCCUACCAGGCUCAGGGACCUAAGAGCUCCAGGGGCCCUAAAGCCUGGGGCUCUGCCCAAAGUACUAUGUACUGUAACAUAAACUCAUAUUGGGUUUGUCUGUUGUCCAUUUGUAUCCACAAAGUUCACCAGAAUCCAUCAGUUAAGGUCUGUUUUCCCAAAACGUUCUCCCAGAGAAAACUUGUAGAUCUCCCCCUUGACAAUAAUGUCUGGAUGACGAAGGUUACACACAAAGAAUGUUUUAUACAUCUGCACCCAGAAGCCCACAAGACCAUAAACCGCCCAUGGAUUAAAAGGCUUAUUUUUAUAUAAUAUGCGUUAAAAGUGUAUCACAUAUAGCAUCCCCUGCCCGCCUACAGGGCAGAGAAAAAAGUUCAGACUCAGGAUAUUUUUCCACUAUCAUCCCUGUUUUCAUGCUUCAGGCAUUCAUUGGGGUCGUAUAAUUUUCUGAGGUCUGUUCUGACAGCAGCUCUUUAUUUAUUUCCUGAAUGUAUCCUUAAACUAUCCAUCGUUGUGUCUCCAUCUCAGAAGAUUAAACAAUGAGAAAAUGUUUUUUACAGCUGGUCACCUAAACAACUCGGGUGAUGAGAAUAAGUCUGACUAUGAGCGACAGGACCCUGUCUGAUCAGCCUUUGUUUUGUUUUUGUCCAAAUGAUGAUUUGUUUUCUCUGAAAAUAUUCUGUGUUUCCUUAACCUCCUCAUAGCUAGACUGCAUGUUUUACCAAAGUGCCCCUCCUGUUGACCGUCCUGCUUUAUGGCAUUCUCUGUUCAUUUGCUGACCUGGAAAUGUGUGAAAACAGAUGCAGAUGAGAUCUUUAGACCCAACAUCCCGUAUUCUAGAGAUUGGGAAGAUGGCAUUUCCAACAUUCAUGGGGCAAAAAAAAAAGCUCGCUAAUAUUUUAGAGACUUUUGGUCUAACACAACAUGUCAAACAAGCAACACACACUAAAGGACACACAUUGGACCUGGUUAUCAGGGUGUGAAUAUUUCCAAUGUCUCUGUAACUGAUGUCACCCUGUCGGAUCACUUCCCUGUUAUUUUUGAAAGUUCUUUAUCUUUUAACCCACUUGGACAAACAGCAACCAUCACAAAACGUUCUCUCACUGAAAACACAGCAGAAACUUUUAAUCAAAUCUACUCUUCUUCCUCACCCUUAAGCUGUAAUGAUGCAGAUAAGUUGGUAAAUGAUUUUCAGGCUAAAGUCUCAGAUAUCAUUGAUUCCAUCGCCCCAAUUAAAAUGAGGGUUGUGUCUGGUA